This 793-nucleotide ribosomal RNA is filed under the name uncultured archaeon. RNAcentral's name for it is "bacterial SSU rRNA". It matches the Rfam family "Archaeal small subunit ribosomal RNA", at positions 85 to 879 of the family's 1478-position model. The record is from RNAcentral.
ACGGCUCAGUAACACGUGGAUAACCUGCCCUCAGGUCUGGCAUAACCCCGGGAAACUGGGGAUAAUACCGGAUAACGCAUAUGUGCUGGAAUGCUUUAUGCGUCAAAGGUCCUCCGCCUGAGGAUGGGUCUGCGGCCUAUCAGGUAGUAGCGGGUGUAAUGUACCUGCUAGCCGACGACGGGUACGGGUUGUGAGAGCAAGAGCCCGGAGAUGGAUUCUGAGACAUGAAUCCAGGCCCUACGGGGCGCAGCAGGCGCGAAAACUUUACAAUGCGGGAAACCGUGAUAAGGGGACACCGAGUGCCAGCAAUAUUUGCUGGCUGUCCAGGUGUGUAAAUUACACCUGUUAGCAAGGGCCGGGCAAGACCGGUGUUAGCCGUUGUGGUAACACCGGCGGCCCGAGUGGUGAUCGUUAUUAUUGGGUCUAAAGGGUCCGUAGCCGGUUUAGUCAGUCCUCCGGGAAAUCUGUCAGCUCAACUGAUAGGCUAUCGGGGGAUACUGCUAGACUUGGAACCGGGAGAGGUAAGAGGUACUACAGGGGUAGGAGUGAAAUCUUGUAAUCCCUGUGGGACCACCAGUGGCGAAGGCGUCUUACCAGAACGGGUUCGACGGUGAGGGACGAAAGCUGGGGGCACGAACCGGAUUAGAUACCCGGGUAGUCCCAGCCGUAAACGAUGCUCGCUAGGUGUCAUGCAUGGUGCGACCGUGUAUGGUGCCGUAGGGAAGCCGUGAAGCGAGCCACCUGGGAAGUACGGCCGCAAGGCUGAAACUUAAAGGAAUUGGCGGGGAAGCAC